CCUACGGGAGGCAGCAGUGGGGAAUAUUGCACAAUGGGGGAAACCCUGAUGCAGCAACGCCGCGUGAAGGAAGACGGUUUUCGGAUUGUAAACCUCUGUUCUUCGUGAAGAAUAAUGACGGUAGCGAAGGAGCAAGCCACGGCUAACUACGUACCAGCAGCCGCGGUAAUACGUAGGUGGCAAGCGUUGUCCGGAAUUACGGGGUGUAAAGGGAGCGCAGGCGGGAAGCAAAGUCAGGUGUGAAAACUACGGGCUUAACUUGUAGACUGCAGUUGAAACUGGUUUUCUUGAGUGAAGUAGAGGUUGGCGGAAUUCCGAGUGUAGCGGUGAAAUGCGUAGAUAUUCGGAGGAACACCGGUGGCGAAGGCGGCCUACUGGGCUUUAACUGACGCUGAGGCUCGAAAGUGUGGGUAGCAAACAGGAUUAGAUACCCGAGUAGUC
This 441-nucleotide ribosomal RNA is filed under the name uncultured bacterium. Its description in RNAcentral is "partial 16S ribosomal RNA". It matches the Rfam family "Bacterial small subunit ribosomal RNA", at positions 338 to 795 of the family's 1533-position model. The record is from RNAcentral.